RNAcentral lists this ribosomal RNA (459 nucleotides) under uncultured bacterium. RNAcentral describes it as "partial 16S ribosomal RNA". It matches the Rfam family "Bacterial small subunit ribosomal RNA", at positions 338 to 794 of the family's 1533-position model. The record is from RNAcentral.
CCUACGGGAGGCAGCAGUGAGGAAUAUUUGUCAAUGGACGCAAGUCUGAACCAGCCAUGCCGCGUGCAGGAAGACGGCUCUAUGAGUUGUAAACUGCUUUUGUACGAGGGUAAACGCAGAUACGCGUAUCUGUCUGAAAGUAUCGUACGAAUAAGGAUCGGCUAACUCCGUGCCAGCAGCCGCGGUAAUACGGAGGAUUCAAGCGUUAUCCGGAUUUAUUGGGUUUAAAGGGUGCGUAGGCGGUCGGAUAAGUUAGAGGUGAAAUCCCGAGGCUCAACUUCGGAAUUGCCUCUGAUACUGUUCGGCUAGAGAGUAGUUGCGGUAGGCGGAAUGUAUGGUGUAGCGGUGAAAUGCUUAGAGAUCAUACAGAACACCGAUUGCGAAGGCAGCUUACCAAGCUACUUCUGACGUUGAGGCACGAAAGCGUGGGUAGCAAACAGGAUUAGAUACCCUAGUAGU